GAUGAACGCUGGCGGCGUGCCUAACACAUGCAAGUCGAACGGAGAUACGCGGAAUGCGGACUUGUCCAAAUGAAGCGUAUACUUAGUGGCGGACGGGUGAGUAACGCGUGGAUAACCUGCCUUUUUCUGGGGGAUAGCAGUUGGAAACGACUGGUAAUACCGCAUGAGCUCAGCUUUGGGCAUCCAAGGAUGAGGAAAGAUUUAUCGGGAAAAGAUGGAUCCGCGGUCUGAUUAGCCAGUUGGCGGGGUAACGGCCCACCAAAGCAACGAUCAGUAGCCGGCCUGAGAGGGUGAACGGCCACAUUGGGACUGAGACACGGCCCAGACUCC
RNAcentral lists this ribosomal RNA (330 nucleotides) under uncultured Butyrivibrio sp. RNAcentral's name for it is "bacterial SSU rRNA". It matches the Rfam family "Bacterial small subunit ribosomal RNA", at positions 28 to 339 of the family's 1533-position model. Lineage: Bacteria; Bacillati; Bacillota; Clostridia; Lachnospirales; Lachnospiraceae. The record is from RNAcentral.